UACGAAGGGGGCUAGCGUUGCUCGGAAUCACUGGGCGUAAAGCGCACGUAGGCGGAUUGCUAAGUCAGGGGUGAAAUCCUGGAGCUCAACUCCAGAACUGCCCUUGAUACUGGCGGUCUCGAGUCCGGGAGAGGUGAGUGGAACUGCGAGUGUAGAGGUGAAAUGCGCAGAUAUCAGGAGGAACACCAAUGGCGAAGGCAGCUCACUGGGACGGUAUUGACGCUGAGACGCGAAAGCGUGGGGAGCAAACAGG
This 253-nucleotide ribosomal RNA is filed under the name uncultured bacterium. RNAcentral's name for it is "partial 16S ribosomal RNA". It matches the Rfam family "Bacterial small subunit ribosomal RNA", at positions 524 to 776 of the family's 1533-position model. The record is from RNAcentral.